Long non-coding RNA from Scylla paramamosain (green mud crab), 771 nucleotides. RefSeq lists it as uncharacterized. The record is from RefSeq and is a predicted model, not a curated record. NCBI's taxonomy places the organism in Eukaryota, Metazoa, Arthropoda, Malacostraca, Decapoda, Portunidae. The transcript has 3 exons.
UGAUUUUCAGACACACUUCAGUCACAAGAUGAAUGCAGUCAGCUACAGCAUGACAUAGACAAGCUAUAGACAGUUGAGAGAGGAAGAAGUCAGUGGCACCCUCACCUCAGACAAGACAAAGCUAACAAUUGAUAAUGAAAGACACACUUCAGUCACAAGAUGAAUGCAGUCAGCUACAGCAUGACAUAGACAAGCUAUAGACAGUUGAGAGAGGAAGAAGUCAGUGGCACCCUCACCUCAGACAAGACAAAGCUAACAAUUGAUAAUGAAAGACCAGCAGCAGCAGCAGCAGCAGCAGCAGCAGCACACACAAGAGGUGUUUUCUGUAUGAUGAUGAUGAUGGAAAAAGCACAUCUCGAAAGGAUGUUAUAAGCAGGGCAACGUAAUGAAAUUCAGUGAAUGGACGUGUGUGCGUGGCUGCAAUCACUAUGAAAUUAAGUUGAAAAUAAGAAAUAUAUUACUUUACAGAAAGGAAUGCUUAGAGUGAAUGAAAUUACUGUAAUGAAUGAAUGGAAAUAAAGUUGUGAGUCAUUAAAUGAUUAGGAAAAGAAGCUGUGAAUAGGUGCAUUAUUGUUAUUACUGAAAGGAAGAAUAUUUGUAGGAUAUGUCAUGUAUAUUAUCAAAGUGUUUUCAUUCUUACUUUCUUCUUUCUCUUUCAUCUUUUCUUAGUAUAUUUAAGUGAAUUUCUCUCUCUCUCUCUCUCUCUCUCUCUCUCUCUCUCUCUCUCUCUCUCUCUCUCUCUCUCUCUCUCUCUCUCUCUCUCUCUCUCUC